This is a long non-coding RNA of Mirounga angustirostris (Northern elephant seal), 2527 nucleotides long. RefSeq lists it as uncharacterized. NCBI's taxonomy places the organism in Eukaryota, Metazoa, Chordata, Mammalia, Carnivora, Phocidae. The record is from RefSeq and is a predicted model, not a curated record. The transcript is spliced from 3 exons.
AGCAGUCACAGGAUUAGCACAUCGGAACAAGCCCCAGAACUGCUGUUGAACCCAUGGUCCUCCCUCAGGCUCUGUGUCCUUUGGAGGCAUUCUCUUGCCACGGACUGGCACUCUCAGAGGAAUUCCAUGGAUGAAGUGGGAAUGGGAGAACUGAGGAUUUCCCCUGCUUCUACAGGAACUUCACCUUAGAGAACACAACCAGAAUCCCAUCGAAAGCAUCUUGACUACUUUCUGCACAUUCUCUUAAGACAGUGCAAAUCUUCAUUGUCUGAAUGCAAAGCAGACUGCAACCUUUCUCAGAAUACACAGCGCUGUUUUGCUGCUCUGGUUCCUUCGUUACUGGGCACCUUUGCCCACAGUGGGCAGAAUCCAGCCUGCCUGGUAAGACUCCGUCAGGGCACACUGUGAACUUUGGCCCGCUUGGCAGAGAUUUGCUCAUCAACUAAUUGAAAACUGACAAACGUUCAUAUCUAUUCAGGGGGAAGAACUGUCCCCCCACAGGCUGUACGUUUAACCAGAACAGGAAUCAAUUUUUAUUCAUCUUGGUAGCCUCCUCCCCCAAGUACUCGGACUGGAGAUUGGUACCUCAUCUUGUGCUCCACGCUGCUGAAUUGUGAACCUACUACCAACUUUGCAUCAAGAUGUUCAAGUUUCUUUUUAGCUGUCUCUGACAGGAGAACAGCAACAAGGAAAAAGGAAAAAAAGAAAAACAUCACAACAGCAAAGACCUCUACCCCCAAAGAAAGGAGGUAUUUUAGCUUAUUCAUCUACACCUGCCACCCAAAAAAUCCCUUCAUAAUCGUUCUGUCCUAACACUGUAAAAUGUUUCCAGAAAUUUCUCUCUGUAAAAAUGCCUUCUAAAUGAACUAUAAUCUUUUUAAGAUCAUUUAUGUGUAGGUUUUUAUUUUUUUUCAGUACUUUAUCUUGUUUCCUUUUCUGAGCAUUACAAACUCAGCCCAGCACCUCACCCACAUGGGACAGUGCUUCAGAUGCACGAUGUCAUUUUUCUGACGAAGGGUUACUGUCAAGUUAGACAAAACGACUUUGGUAAUGCAAGAUCUCGGGGGAGAAAGCAGAAGAUAAAUGAGCGGUGGCUACAGAACCACAACGUAACCUCAUUUUAAUCACAAGUGUUCACCCCUCAAUGUGCCAGGCUGAUAGGUUGGUGAGCAGACUCAGAAUAGGUCAGCUCCCCACCAAGCUCAAAUCAAGUGGUGGCAGCUAGAGAUAUGGUGGUGGAGUUUGGUGGUUACAAACACCGGCUUUGAACUCAGACAAGCCUGUGGUCCCUGGGUUAUCUUGUGUGGCACUAAAAACAAAACACAAAGGAUAUUAAGAACAGAACCCUCAGGAAGGGUUAUUCCAAUAAAAGGCAAUGAGAGGGGUAACAAGCAUCAGGGAAAGAGGAAAAAUCAGCAACGGGAUUCAUCAUCAACCUUCAUCUUCAACCUUCAGGUUUCAAUUCUCCGUUAACUAUUUUUUAUCCCUAUUUCAAUGCAACUGAAUAAUAAUUGAAUGCCUACUUUCUGUUAGGCAUUAAGGUCUCUGAGCUCCACACAAUCUGACUGGGAAGACAGGUCAACUUAAAUAAAAUAACUACAGCAAAAGCGAGACAAAACUUGGCAGAGAUGAUAUGCAUAGAGUGUAAAACACAAAGGUGCAGUAAAUCUGACUCUAAAGGAAGGCCACAUUCAAAGUGGGCCUUCAAGCAGAGGAAGAGUUUGCCAAGCAGACAAGGAAGGAAAAGGAUUCCAGGGGAAAAACGAAAAACAGAGCCUGAGAAAGGUCAGGGGUGAGCGCCGUAACCCCCUGGUUCCAGGGUCAACUGUAAUUAAUUCACAUUUAAAUUUAAAUAGCUACAUGUGGCUGGUGGCUAUCAUAUUGGACAGUGCAGGCCUUCAAUUAACAUUUAUUCUGUCACUUUGUUUUGGUAUAGCCCUGAAACAGAAUUUUUUUUUUUUUUUAAUGCGAUCUCGGGACAAAUAAAGAGCUCUAGAGUCAAAUUACUUGAAUUCAAAUUUAGGUUCUUCUUUUACAAGUGAUUUGACCUCAGGAAUUAUGUUUCACUACUCUUUGCCUCGGUUUCCCCAAUUGGCAAAAUAAAAGUACUUACCCCUAUAGGACUGUGGGGAGGAAUAGUGCCUGACAUAUAAUAUUUGUGGUACAUGUCGGCCGUAAUUACGAUUUGUGAACAUAUCGUCUCUAACACCAUGCUACUGUUUGUGAAUAUAUGCAAUCUCCAAUAUCAGGUAUUACUUAGUUUACUGUGAAUAAACACAUAAAAUGAAUCUUCACAAUCCUCUAACAAAAAAUAAUGUAGUCAGUAUCACUAGUCCAUUUCCUACACGGCAGCUUCACAAGAAGCUUUUUCUUUGAAAACAGACAAGCCAUUAGCUGGAACAUCUUUUUCUUCCCCCAGUUUCACAUCAAAGUUUUGCGGGGCUUUUUUUGCAAUAUUUCAAUCAUAACUUUGAUGAUCAUUCUCAUGAAAAAGACCAGGACAGUGGCGUUAACUAAAUGUGUAAAG